CGACCGGCGCACGGGUGAGUAACACGUAUGGAACCUGCCCGCAGCAGGGGGAUAAGCGGAAGAAAUUCCGUCUAAUACCGCGUAACACCGCAGAGGGGCAUCCCUCGGCGGUUAAAGAUUCAUCGGCUGCGGAUGGCCAUGCGGCGCAUUAGCUAGUCGGCGGGGUAACGGCCCACCGAGGCGACGAUGCGUAGGGGUUCUGAGAGGAAGGCCCCCCACACUGGUACUGAGACACGGACCAGACUCCUACGGGAGGCAGCAG
RNAcentral lists this ribosomal RNA (262 nucleotides) under uncultured bacterium. Its description in RNAcentral is "partial 16S ribosomal RNA". It matches the Rfam family "Bacterial small subunit ribosomal RNA", at positions 92 to 354 of the family's 1533-position model. The record is from RNAcentral.